Long non-coding RNA from Leopardus geoffroyi (Geoffroy's cat), 955 nucleotides. RefSeq lists it as uncharacterized. The transcript is spliced from 3 exons. Lineage: Eukaryota; Metazoa; Chordata; Mammalia; Carnivora; Felidae. The record is from RefSeq and is a predicted model, not a curated record.
UCGCUCUCCCGCAGCUUCUGAAUCUUUCCCGCUCAAAGUAAACCUGUUCGGGAUUGGCUCUGAUUGGCAAGCAACAGCUCUAUGAUUGGCUAAUAGGGCGGCGGAGGGGCGGGGCGUGGAAGAUAAGGAAAGAGAGCAGGCCUACCCCGUGGGAGAAGCGGUGGAGGUGGUGGGAAGAUUUGAGAAGUCACUCAGCAACUGGCUGAUAAUCUAAACCUAUCGCUGCGCACCUUGUGCCAACAUUUCAUUUUUGGCCCUUGGGCCCUUCCCUAACUCCCAGAGUCCUUUGGAACAGCCAAGAGAAUAAUAGACGUGCCCGUUUACAGAAGAACUGCACAAGGAACUAUGGACCCAGCAAAAGGAACAGAGAGAUGCUCAGUAGCUUCUUUCUCCAAAUGCGGGGCCUUCCUUCUUAAGGAUGAGAGAACGUCAGAUUGAUAGCUCCACCAAACUGAGAGGUGUGAGGAAGAUGAACAAAGAGCAGGUACCUGGACACUUGUCUGCGUUCAGGGGUGUUAUUUGCUCAACGAGUGGCCGGUUGAAACUUCCUCAGAUUAGAUGUCAGCUAAACAUAAAUGCAUCUAUGAGCAGUACUAUUUAGAUGAAAGUGGGGAAGAAAAAGAUGUUAGGAUCGGUGUUCUUUUCUACAUGGGAAACCUCUGAACCGUUUCUCAACACCCCCUUUUUUUGCAGUCCCAGAGCACUUGACCCUGUGAUGCACUUAACCCUGUUACAGUUUAGCUGCUCCUUUACUUGCUUUCUCCAUAAGGCUAUAUAUGAAUCAGCUUAGGGCUGGCAUCUUUGUUCAUCUUUGUAUCUGUCCUCUGAAUAAAGAUGGAAUCAAGACAUGGGAAUUUUGAAUGAAUAUCUUCCUGCCCUCCAAUACCCAAGCAUGGCGUCUGUAUGAAGGCCCGCAUCAUUCUCUAGUAGCUGAGCUAACAGGACCUCUACCUCU